This 281-nucleotide ribosomal RNA is filed under the name uncultured bacterium. RNAcentral's name for it is "partial 16S ribosomal RNA". It matches the Rfam family "Bacterial small subunit ribosomal RNA", at positions 542 to 822 of the family's 1533-position model. The record is from RNAcentral.
UAUCCGGAUUUAUUGGGUUUAAAGGGAGCGUAGGCGGGUGCUUAAGUCAGUUGUGAAAGUUUGCGGCUCAACCGUAAAAUUGCAGUUGAUACUGGGUACCUUGAGUGCAGCAUAGGUAGGCGGAAUUCGUGGUGUAGCGGUGAAAUGCUUAGAUAUCACGAAGAACUCCGAUUGCGAAGGCAGCUUACUGGACUGUAACUGACGCUGAUGCUCGAAAGUGUGGGUAUCAAACAGGAUUAGAUACCCUGGUAGUCCACGCAGUAAACGAUGAAUACUCGCUG